Molecule: ribosomal RNA, 495 nt
Filed under: uncultured bacterium
Lineage: Bacteria
Description: partial 16S ribosomal RNA
Rfam family: Bacterial small subunit ribosomal RNA
Source: RNAcentral
GACGAACGCUGGCGGCGUGCCUAAUACAUGCAAGUAGAACGCUGAAGGAGGAGCUUGCUUCUCUGGAUGAGUUGCGGACGGGUGAGUAACGCGUAGGUAACCUGCCUGGUAGCGGGGGAUAACUAUUGGAAACGAUAGCUAAUACCGCAUAAUAGCAGUUGUUGCAUGACAACUGUUUGAAAGGUGCAAUUGCACCACUACCAGAUGGACCUGCGUUGUAUUAGCUAGUUGGUGGGGUAACGGCUCACCAAGGCGACGAUACAUAGCCGACCUGAGAGGGUGAUCGGCCACACUGGGACUGAGACACGGCCCAGACUCCUACGGGAGGCAGCAGUAGGGAAUCUUCGGCAAUGGACGGAAGUCUGACCGAGCAACGCCGCGUGAGUGAAGAAGGUUUUCGGAUCGUAAAGCCCUGUUGUAAGAGAAGAACGAGUGUGAGAGUGGAAAGUUCACACUGUGACGGUAUCUUACCAGAAAGGGACGGCUAACUACGUG